RNAcentral lists this ribosomal RNA (486 nucleotides) under uncultured bacterium. RNAcentral describes it as "partial 16S ribosomal RNA". It matches the Rfam family "Bacterial small subunit ribosomal RNA", at positions 30 to 507 of the family's 1533-position model. The record is from RNAcentral.
AUUGAACGCUGGCGGCAUGCCUUACACAUGCAAGUCGAACGGCAGCACGGGUGCUUGCACCUGGUGGCGAGUGGCGAACGGGUGAGUAAUACAUCGGAACAUGUCCUGUAGUGGGGGAUAGCCCGGCGAAAGCCGGAUUAAUACCGCAUACGAUCUACGGAUGAAAGCGGGGGACCUUCGGGCCUCGCGCUAUAGGGUUGGCCGAUAGCUGAUUAGCUAGUUGGUGGGGUAAAGGCCUACCAAGGCGACGAUCAGUAGCUGGUCUGAGAGGACGACCAGCCACACUGGGACUGAGACACGGCCCAGACUCCUACGGGAGGCAGCAGUGGGGAAUUUUGGACAAUGGGCGAAAGCCUGGUCCAGCAAUGCCGCGUGUGUGAAGAAGGCCUUCGGGUUGUAAAGCACUUUUGUCCGGAAAGAAAUCCUUGGCUCUAAUACAGUCGGGGGAUGACGGUACCGGAAGAAUAAGCACCGGCUAACUACGUG